AAUAGAUACCCCGGUAGUCCACGCCGUAAACGUUGGGCGCUAGAUGUGGGGACCAUUCCACGGUUUCCGUGUCGCAGCUAACGCAUUAAGCGCCCCGCCUGGGGAGUACGGCCGCAAGGCUAAAACUCAAAGGAAUUGACGGGGGCCCGCACAAGCGGCGGAGCAUGCGGAUUAAUUCGAUGCAACGCGAAGAACCUUACCAAGGCUUGACAUAUACGAGAACGCCCUAGAAAUAGGGAACUCUUUGGACACUCGUAUACAGGUGGUGCAUGGUUGUCGUCAGCUCGUGUCGUGAGAUGUUGGGUUAAGUCCCGCAACGAGCGCAACCCUCGUUCUAUGUUGCCAGCGGUUCGGCCGGGGACUCAUAGGAGACUGCCGGGGUCAACUCGGAGGAAGGUGGGGAUGACGUCAAAUCAUCAUGCCCCUUAUGUCUUGGGCUUCACGCAUGCUACAAUGGCCGGUACAAAGGGCUGCAAUACCGCAAGGUGGAGCGAAUCCCAAAAAGCCGGUCUCAGUUCGGAUUGGGGUCUGCAACUCGACCCCA
This 544-nucleotide ribosomal RNA is filed under the name uncultured bacterium. RNAcentral's name for it is "bacterial SSU rRNA". It matches the Rfam family "Bacterial small subunit ribosomal RNA", at positions 777 to 1320 of the family's 1533-position model. The record is from RNAcentral.